GACGAACGCUGGCGGCGUGCUUAACACAUGCAAGUCGAACGGAAAGGCCCUGCUCUUGUGGGGUGCUCGAGUGGCGAACGGGUGAGUAACACGUGAGUAACCUGCCCUUGACUUUGGGAUAACUUCAGGAAACUGGGGCUAAUAUCGGAUAGGAGCUCCUGCUGCAUGGUGGGGGUUGGAAAGUUUCGGCGGUUGGGGAUGGACUCGCGGCUUAUCAGCUUGUUGGUGGGGUAGUGGCUUACCAAGGCUUUGACGGGUAGCCGGCCUGGGAGGGGGACCGGCCACAUUGGGACUGAGAUACGGCCCAGACUCCUACGGGAGGCAGCAGUGGGGAAUAUUGCGCAAUGGGCGGAAGCCUGAUGCAGAGGCGCCGCGUGCGGGAUGACGGCCUUCGGGUUGUAAACCGCUUUCGCCUGUGACGAAGCGUGAGUGACGGUAAUGGGUAAAGAAGCACCGGCUAACUACGUG
RNAcentral lists this ribosomal RNA (468 nucleotides) under uncultured bacterium. RNAcentral describes it as "partial 16S ribosomal RNA". It matches the Rfam family "Bacterial small subunit ribosomal RNA", at positions 28 to 507 of the family's 1533-position model. The record is from RNAcentral.